GUUUUAAGGGAUUGAAGGAUAAGUUGGUCAAAAAAUGGUGAAGGCUGUGGCCAUUUUGGGAAGAAAGACAUUCAACCACUUUCUGCUCUACACUUCUACACAAUCUCUUGCUUUCUUCCUGCUUCACCAUUAUUAUUCUCUCUGGGCUUACAACUCUUUUACAUGGAGAUCCCUUAUUUCUUCUUCAUGCUAUCCUAAUUCUCCUCCACUUUUUUCCCACCAUUUUUUUUUUUUUUUUGUGUUUUUCCGCUUCUUAACUCCUUAUGGCGGGUCAACCGUCAGAUUCUUCCCCUCUUAUUCCUCCGGCGCCGAUCACCGACCCUAGUGAGAUCGACCUUGAAGCUGGUCAAGGGGAACAAAUUCAGUGUAGAAUUUGCCUUGAGACCGAUGGUAGGGAUUUUAUUGCUCCUUGCAAAUGCAAAGGGACAUCCAAAUAUGUUCAUCGAGAAUGUCUGGAUCAUUGGCGAGCCGUGAAGGAAGGGUUUGCUUUUGCUCACUGUACCACAUGUAAGGCCCCUUACCAUUUGAGAGUACAUGCUGUUGCUGACAGAAAAUGGCGAACCCUGAAAUUUCGAUUUUUUGUGACUAGAGACAUUAUAUUUAUAUUUUUGGCGGUUCAGCUUGUAAUUGCUUCUCUGGGAUAUUUGACAUACUUAAUAGAUGGUUGUCAACAUUACUGGCUUCGUCUUACUUGGGGUUUUGAUAGCAAAAUUAGUUUUUAUUACAUAUGCGGGGCUUUAUUAUUUUUUGCAUUGCUCGGCGUAUCUGGCUGCUUCAUCACUUGUUAUGAUCGAAGAGUUAGGAGUGAUUUGGCUCAACCAUGUAGAGAAUUGUGUCUAUGUUGUUGCCACCCUGGACUAUGUGCAGACUGUCAUUUACCUGGUACUCUUUGUAUGUGGACCGACUGUACCACUUGCUUCGAAAGUUGUGGAAGCAUUGCAACUGAAUGUGGAUGCCUAGGAGGUGCUGGUGAAGCAGGACUGCCAUUAUUACUUAUAAUGGCCUUGAUUGUUCUUGGUUUGUUCACAGUGAUUGGUAUAUUCUAUAGUGUCUUGGUGGCUACCAUGGUUGGCCAACGAAUAUGGCAACGACACUAUCACAUACUUGCGAAAAGAAUGCUAACAAAGGUGGAUGCCCAGCUGGCCGAGCACAUCCAUUCACGAGGGCUGUCUUAUUGGUCUUUGGGAUGAGAAAGAUAACAGGAGUGGGGGACACUAAAACCAAAUGACAUAUUCCCAUGGAUGGAUUGAUUGUGAAUCGACCAUUUUUGUAGGAGGUUGGAGGAUCAACCAGCAAUUUUCGGAUGGAAUAUGUUGUGGAAGAUGUAGAUGGGGAGAUGACAGGAUCUGACUGGUUGCCUCCACCACUUCCUGCAGAGCACGUUCAACAGCUCAAAACUCUUGGCCUUUUAUGAGAUGAAAUGUGUCAGUUUUUCACUUUGCCCAGAAGAGCACCUGUUGAAGCUUGAACUCACCAUAUGCUUUUGCUGCUCAGUUGCACUUACUACAAGUUACUUUGGACCAAGAAAGUCCUAUACAUAUGCUCUCAGAUGUGUGACACCCUCAGCCUUUUCUUCUGUAUUCUUAGAAUGGCUAGCUUGAUGAAGCUCGUGAUCUUUCUUACUUUCUUUCGUCUUAUCCGUUUGAGGAAAGGGAAUGGGAACGAAUUUGAAUACCUACAAUCAAAACUGACAAAUGUCUCCAAAUUAAUAUGCUUUUAACGUUUCUCUUACUGAGUAUAAAGUAUAUUAUAUUUGUGAGUUUUCUACUAUCA
Molecule: RNA transcript, 1773 nt
Organism: Cucumis sativus (cucumber)
Lineage: Eukaryota; Viridiplantae; Streptophyta; Magnoliopsida; Cucurbitales; Cucurbitaceae
Exons: 8
Source: RefSeq, a predicted model, not a curated record